GGGGGUAUAGCUCAGCUGGGAGAGCAGCAGACUGAAGCGCGCCUAAAAAGCAUUCUGAAGGUCCCGCGUUCGAUCCGCGGUACCCCCA
Non-coding RNA from Rhodocollybia butyracea, 88 nucleotides. NCBI's taxonomy places the organism in Eukaryota, Fungi, Basidiomycota, Agaricomycetes, Agaricales, Omphalotaceae. The record is from the annotation of a GenBank genome assembly.